This 462-nucleotide long non-coding RNA is filed under the name Rattus norvegicus (Norway rat). RNAcentral's name for it is "long non-coding RNA NONRATT014353". The record is from RNAcentral. Lineage: Eukaryota; Metazoa; Chordata; Mammalia; Rodentia; Muridae.
AGUUGUUGAGGACGCUAAGGGAAAGGAGCCAUCUGGAUGGGCCCAACACAGGCCACACCCUGAUUUCAGCUCUUCUGUAUUCUGAUAUGUCUGCACAGCGGGUGUAGUUUAAAGACAGCGGCCACAGGAGGUGCACGCACUUGCUAUUCUGUCCACAGACCCGACUGCGUCUGAGCAUCUCCUGAGAAUGUUCACGUCCCUCCCACCGCCCUGUCCCACCGGCUGUGCUGGCCCACAGUAUAGCUUCCUGGUCCAGGGUUGGGCUCCUGCUCCACUGGUCACACAUCUGGCAGCCAAGGGCCCAUUUGUUUGGACUCAGCCUUGCAACUGAACAGGGUGGGUAGGGUUUUAGGGUCCUGGGAAGUGACCGGAUGCAGGAGCAGCUGAGGAGGGGACACUAAAGGCAGAUGACUGGUGUGUACUAUUCAGGGCUCUGGGUUUACUCAAAAAAAAAAAAAAAAA